This 4488-nucleotide long non-coding RNA is filed under the name Lathyrus oleraceus (garden pea). RNAcentral describes it as "Pisum sativum (pea) long non-coding RNA (PSAT_LNC009150)". Lineage: Eukaryota; Viridiplantae; Streptophyta; Magnoliopsida; Fabales; Fabaceae. The record is from RNAcentral.
ACUCUACCAUAUUAAAGUUUUAUCUUCUUCAAACCACCAUAGCCAUUACAAAACAAAUACAAUCUUAAACCAAAACUUCUUCCUCUCUCCAUUCCCAUGAUAGAUACCUUCUUCAUUCUUCAAUAUAUUCUAACCAAAAUGAAUGCUUCCCUACAUAAUACCAUAACAAACUCACCUUAAAUUUUGUACUUCUUCAAUUAACAACCAUGAACACAUAACCUCACACAAAAUAUCAUCUCAUUGAAACAACACACACUAGCAAUCUUCUCACCUUCAUUUUGAUUCAACAACCCAACCGCAACAACACGUCGGCACCACAACAUCGCCCAACACAUCAGAAGCUUUCAGCCGCUGCUCUACACCACAUGCACACCACUGGAAAACCAUCACCAUCUUGAAUUUGAAUGAACCACCUCUUCGCCGCCUCACUUGUUUCCAUCAUUGAUGUGUCCGAUUCGAGUAAGCAUCGAGAGAGAUGAUAAGUCUUUAUUUUUAAGCCAUUGUUGAUGUUUGAGUUUUUUAGAGAGUUAAAAAAAUGAAGGAAAAGAGAUAGGAGAGCUGAGUUUUCCUACUCGUAUCAGGUACUGGUCUUUUAUGCUACUGAUUUUGUUUUUCUUUUAUGCUUUUUUUUCAUUUAUUUAUUAGAGUUGAGAUUUACUUUUUUAUUUUAUUGGUUUGGAUUGGAUAACUUAGAUGAAGUUUUAUUUAAUGAAUCUGUACAGAGACAAGAUUUGUUUUUAAGUAUAUGUUUCUGGUAUAAAAAGUCAAAGAUAAAUAAUGGCAAAAGAUCUUUAAAUUUGGAGUACUGUAUUGUUAGUACUAGGAAACAAAUUAUCAUCUAUCAGCUAUGAAGUAUUAAACCUUAUAACUAGUAUUGUUAAUUUUGGUAAGUUUUAGAACUCAUGAAAUCUUAAAUAAUAUUGACUUCAAGAUCAACAUGUAAGAAGAGAAAAAAUGUGUUUGCCUCAUUUGUAAAGAACAAUAGUUAUUUAGAUCUUUUAAACUUAAAUUUUUAAAAUUUGAAUUGUUCUAUGUGGGUCUUUUAAUGUAGUUUAGGAAUAUUUGGUUUAGAAUUUGUUAUUGUUUGUUUUAAAUGCAUCACCAUAAAUGACAACUAGCUUGUAAAAUAGGAAAAUAAGUCUAUUUUGGUUUAGACUCAGUUUAGAAUUGCUUCCAAUUUCAUAUAAUAUUUGGCACUUUUUUAUACAAUUAUGUUUUCUCAUUUUGUCACCUAAGCUCUUUUCUAAUUNUUAAGAAAUACUCUUGAUUUCUUAAUCAUGAAUGUAAAUGAAAUAUGUAUGAGUUAAGAAAUACUCUUGACUUCUUAAUCAUGAAUGUAAAUGAAUUGAGAAAUGCUCUUGAUUUCUCAGAUGAAAUGCAAAUGAAUUAAGAAACACUCUUGAUUCCUUAAUCAUGAAUGUAAAUAUGCUGAGAAAUGCUCUUGACUUCUCAGAUGCUAUGCAAAUUAAUUAAGAAAUACUCUUGAUUCCCUAAUCAUGAAUGUAAAUGAAUUGAGAAAUGGUCUUGAUUUCUCAGAUGAUAUGAAGACGAGUUAAGAAAUACUCUUGAUUCCUUAAUCAUUGAAUGUAAAUGUACUGAGAAAUGCUCUUGAUUUCUCAGAUGAUAUGCAAAUGAGUUAAGAAAUACUCUUGAUUUCUUAAUCAUGAAUGUAAAUGAAUUAUGUAUGAGUUAAGAAAUACUCUUGAUUUCUUAAUCAUGAAUGUAAAUGAAAUAUGUAUGAGUUAAGAAAUACUCUUGAUUUCUUAAUCAUGAUAGUGCAGAUGAAUUAAGAAAUACUCUUGAUUCCUUAAUUAUGAAUGUAAAUGAGAAAUGCUCUUGAUUUCUCAUAUGACAUGCAAAUGACUAGGGAUGAGAGAAUCAUGUUCAGUUGCUCUUGACUGACAUUAGGUCUCUAGGAUGGAUCUGUUAUAACGUAACAUGCUCGACUGGUCUUCAGACGUUCUUCGUUGAAGGCAGACACUCCUGGGGGAAUAAAUGAUCAUAUUCAGCUGCUUUUGGCUAAAGAUGUCAUAUUCAACAACUCUUGGCUGAAACUGAUGCAUUCAACGACUCUUGGUUGAAGCAAAAACUGUAAAAUAAAGUAGUGUUCAGCUGUUUUUUACUGAAACCACUGCAUUCAACUGCUCAUGGUUGAAGCAAAACUGGGAGAUAAAAAUCUUCUACUUAAUCUCAUGUUUUGAAAUUGUUAAAUAAUAAACUUAUUAUUAAAUUUGUUGAACACAUUUUUCUCAAUAAAAUUUACACAACUAUAAAAAUCAAGGAAAUAAAGCAUAUAUACAGAAUUUAGCGACGAAAAAAACCACAACAUAGAAAAUCACGAGUAAAAGCUAUACAACUCCUAUCUAGAGAAAUUAUGUGAUAGUUGAAAGAAUUAGAAAAGAGCUUAGGUGACAAAAUGAGAAAACAUAAUUGUAUAAAAAAGUGCCAAAUAUUAUAUGAAAUUGGAAGCAAUUCUAAACUGAGUACUUCAAGGAAAUAAUUCAUUUUUAAGGAGUCAAGAGUACUUCUUAACCUUCAUUUACAUGCAUAUCGCCCGACAAUUAGGAAAUCAAGAGUAUUUCUUAAAUCUCGUUGCAUUCAUUUGCAUUAUUGUCUGUUGAUUAAGAAAUCAAGAGUAUUUCUUAAAUCCAAGUGCAUUCGGUCAUAAUCAUAAGCAUAUCAUUCUUCUACAUUAGAAGGGCAAAAUUUGGGUCUGUUUGGUAUUUAAACUAUCUUUUACCAUGAUGAUUUGAAGACAAGAGUUCUUCAUAUCCUCCGGUUAAAUAUGUUUAAAUAGGGGCAGCUGUCAUACCCUAAAUUUCACCCUGAGUUUUCACUCGCAUCAGCAUAACAUAAAUCGAUCCAUUUUGUCGUGUAUUUCAUCAAUUUAAAGCAUUCAUCAGGGUUCAGGUAAAAGGUCAGGAAUUCUGACAUUUUAUCUGAAUUUGAUAAUACUUAUUCAGUCGUCUGUUGAUUAAGAAGUCAAAAGACUUGAUUUCUCAAUCUCGUUGCAUCGCUUAUUUUUAUUACGUCGUAUUUUAGAGGUUCGGAAAGUGAUAAUCAAGAUUAUUGUCGUCGUCUGAAUCUUUGUAGGUUUUGUUUGUGCUUGAGAAUCAACAGCAAAUCGUACAAGAGCGAUUCAUUUGCAUCUGACUGUCUGUUCACGAUUAUUCAGUCAGCAAUUCAGUUCAUUUACAUGACGCUUGCAUUUUUUUACUUGUAAAAACAUGCAUUUUGUUUCACAUAGUGCUUAAAAUAUACUUGAAUUAAUUUUUUCGAAACUACAGACAGACCGGUCAAAUCGUUUCUCAACUGUACGUCGAACUAUCGGGCGGAAAAUUUCAAAAUUGAACUUGCAGACGUCAGUUUUAGUAAUCUACGAUUUGUGUAUUUUAAUUUGGCAUGCUCAUUUUAAUUUUUUGACUACUUUUUCAGUCGCAUUUUAAUCAGUUUGAGCCUUUUAACCGGUCGAUUUUUAUUUCAAAAUUUGAUCGAAACAUGUAUGUUUCUGAGAAGUUUAUUUCACAUUGAUAAGUUUGAUGCAUUCAAUUUAUUUAUUUUUGGGGCAUUUUUUGCCCGAUUUUUAUUUAUUUUUUAUCCGAUUAUUUUUUAUUCUUAACCAAAAUGUCGUUGGAAUUAAUUAGAUUUGUCCGAAUUUUUAUUUUUAUUUUAUUUUGCAUUUUCGAUUUUUAUUUUAAAUUAUUAAUAUUUUAGUUUUUUAGAAAAAUUAAUUUAAGAAAAAAAUCAGAAAAUAUCUUUUGAUCCCCCACUCAAUUGUUGUCACGUGUCCCCAUUUUUCUGCCAUCCACAUGAAACCACGUCUCUCUUUUUUACACCACAAAUACCUCUUCCUCCAAUCAACAGCAAGGACUACAAGGAAAUAAUACAAAAGAAACAUGUGGAAAAGAAAACGAACAAAAGAAGGUCGAAUGAAUUGACCAUCAUCUUCUUGCUCAUACUCCAUCAAUAUCUCUAACUCUACCAUAUUAAAGUUUUAUCUUCUUCAAACCACCAUAGCCAUUACAAAACAAAUACAAUCUUAAACCAAAACUUCUUCCUCUCUCCAUUCCCAUGAUAGAUACCUUCUUCAUUCUUCAAUAUAUUCUAACCAAAAUGAAUGCUUCCCUACAUAAUACCAUAACAAACUCACCUUAAAUUUUGUACUUCUUCAAUUAACAACCAUGAACACAUAACCUCACACAAAAUAUCAUCUCAUUGAAACAACACACACUAGCAAUCUUCUCACCUUCAUUUUGAUUCAACAACCCAACCGCAACAACACGUCGGCACCACAACAUCGCCCAACACAUCAGAAGCUUUCAGCCGCUGCUCUACACCACAUGCACACCACUGGAAAACCAUCACCAUCUUGAAUUUGAAUGAACCACCUCUUCGCCGCCUCACUUGUUUCCAUCAUUGAUGUGUCCGAUUCGAGUAAGCAUCGAGAGAGAUGAUAAGUCUUUAUUUUUAAGCCAUUGUUGAUGUUUG